Malus domestica (apple) is the source of this 521-nucleotide long non-coding RNA. RefSeq lists it as uncharacterized. NCBI's taxonomy places the organism in Eukaryota, Viridiplantae, Streptophyta, Magnoliopsida, Rosales, Rosaceae. The record is from RefSeq and is a predicted model, not a curated record.
ACACACACAAGCAAACCUAAGAUCUACACGGAUCGAAGGUUCUGAGGUCUCCAGUGGGUUCCUAGGAUCCUUACGAGUCGAGUGGUACCCAUUUUCAGCAAGGAAACCUUCGAGAAACCCUAGUUUGAAAGGGAGCCGUGGGUGUACAGUACACCAAACCAGUUCGUGGAGGUUUCGAACCAUUUCAAGGCUUGUAAAGGACCACAAUGAGCUCAAAGAGGUCAUCACGAUGCUCGGAGUACAUCGUUGGUAGGAUUUGGGUCGCGGGAAGCUCGAAAACGGAGUUUUGCAGAGGUCGCCGGAGUUUGAGGAUUUCUCCGACGUGAUUUCACGUGAUUCGAGGUGUGAAAGAGUUUCCGGCGCUGGCAACGGUCGCCAGAGUUUGGCGGUUGAAGACAAUGCUCGUGGGCGGCGCGUGAGGCCGUGCCCUCCCCGGCGCGUGAGUCAUAGGAAAAAUUUUCUAAAAAUAUCACGAUGCUCGUGAGGUUAUGUAGAUCACUGUGGCAAAUUCAUAUACCCAU